Long non-coding RNA from Rhineura floridana, 352 nucleotides. RefSeq lists it as uncharacterized. Lineage: Eukaryota; Metazoa; Chordata; Lepidosauria; Squamata; Rhineuridae. The transcript is spliced from 3 exons. The record is from RefSeq and is a predicted model, not a curated record.
GAUUUAUCCCAGAAUGCAAAGGAAGCUGUGGAAUAGGCAUUGCUUCACACUCACAGCUGCCAGAGGUCAUAAAAAUAUCCCCCAGCCCUUCAUGUGACUCUCCAAAGGAGGUGCAAAGGAUGGCAAGACAAGAACAGGAUGGCUCCCCAUCUGUGGAAUACUUUUCUCAGGGAUGCACACCUGGCACCAUCAUUGUCGGUUCUUAGUUCUGGGCCAGUUGUCCACGAUAUAUCUCAGGACAUGGACUGAUGGCAGAUGAUGAAGCCACUUUGAUGAAGUUGUGACUGGAUAAGGAUCAUCUGAGAUUGUCAUGACAUCUGCUAUGAGUUCCAUGGUGGUAGAAAGGCAGAUU